AGAGUUUGAUCCUGGCUCAGGAUGAACGCUAGCGGCAGGCUUAAUACAUGCAAGUCGAGGGGCAGCGGGGGUAGCAAUACCCGCCGGCGACCGGCAAACGGGUGCGGAACACGUACGCAACCUUCCUUUAACUGGAGAAUAGCCCCGAGAAAUCGGGAUUAAUACUCCGUAACAUAAUGAAGUGGCAUCACUUUAUUAUUAUAGCUCCGGCGGUUAAAGAUGGGCGUGCGCCUGAUUAGAUAGUUGGUGGGGUAACGGCCCACCAAGUCUGCGAUCAGUAACUGGUGUGAGAGCACGACCAGUCACACGGGCACUGAGACACGGGCCCGACUCCUACGGGAGGCAGCAGUAAGGAAUAUUGGUCAAUGGACGCAAGUCUGAACCAGCCAUGCCGCGUGGAGGAUUAAGGCCCUCUGGGUUGUAAACUCCUUUUAUCUGGGAAGAAAUGCCAAUUUUCUAAUUGGUUUGACGGUACCAGAGGAAUAAGCACCGGCUAACUCCGUGCCAGCAGCCGCGGUAAUACGGAGGGUGCAAGCGUUAUCCGGAUUCACUGGGUUUAAAGGGUGCGUAGGCGGGCAGGUAAGUCCGUGGUGAAAUCUCUGAGCUUAACUCAGAAACUGCCAUGGAUACUAUUUGUCUUGAAUGUUGUGGAGGUAAGCGGAAUAUGUCAUGUAGCGGUGAAAUGCUUAGAUAUGACAUAGAACACCCAUUGCGAAGGCAGCUUACUACACAAUUAUUGACGCUGAGGCACGAAAGCGUGGGGAUCAAACAGGAUUAGAUACCCCCGUAGUCC
Molecule: ribosomal RNA, 793 nt
Filed under: uncultured Chitinophagaceae bacterium
Lineage: Bacteria; Pseudomonadati; Bacteroidota; Chitinophagia; Chitinophagales; Chitinophagaceae
Description: bacterial SSU rRNA
Rfam family: Bacterial small subunit ribosomal RNA
Source: RNAcentral